RNAcentral lists this ribosomal RNA (256 nucleotides) under uncultured bacterium. RNAcentral describes it as "partial 16S ribosomal RNA". It matches the Rfam family "Bacterial small subunit ribosomal RNA", at positions 57 to 305 of the family's 1533-position model. The record is from RNAcentral.
GCAAGUCGAACGAAAUCGAAUCUUCGGAUUCAAUGAUUUAGUGGCGAACGGGUGAGUAACACGUAAGAAACCUGCCCUUAGGACGAGGAUAACUAUUGGAAACGAUAGCUAAUACUGGAUAGGAUAUUUGAUCGCAUGGUCGAAUAUUUAAAGAAGCUUUCAAGCUUCACCUUUGGAUGGUCUUGCGCUGUAUUAGCUAGUUGGUGAGGUAACGGCUCACCAAGGCGACGAUCCUUAGCUGGUCUAGAGGAUGAUC